CCGAUCGAUGAUGAUGACCUCGUGGCAUAUAUUGUCAAUGGUCUUGAUGAAGAUUUUGAACCUGUUGUAUCCGCAAUUGUGGCUAAGAAUGAAUCUGUCAUAGUUGCUGAACUUCACUCACAACUUUUGGGCUUUGAAA
This is a small nucleolar RNA of Phragmites australis (common reed), 139 nucleotides long. RefSeq annotates it as small nucleolar RNA Z247. The transcript has a single exon. Lineage: Eukaryota; Viridiplantae; Streptophyta; Magnoliopsida; Poales; Poaceae. The record is from RefSeq and is a predicted model, not a curated record.